Molecule: ribosomal RNA, 713 nt
Filed under: Cladosporium succulentum
Lineage: Eukaryota; Fungi; Ascomycota; Dothideomycetes; Cladosporiales; Cladosporiaceae
Description: LSU rRNA
Rfam family: Eukaryotic large subunit ribosomal RNA
Source: RNAcentral
GGAUUGCUCUAGUAACGGCGAGUGAAGCAGCAAUAGCUCAAAUUUGAAAUCUGGCGUCUUCGGCGUCCGAGUUGUAAUUUGUAGAGGAUGCUUCUGGGCAGCCACCGACCUAAGUUCCUUGGAACAGGACGUCAUAGAGGGUGAGAAUCCCGUAUGCGGUCGGAAAGGCACCCUACACGUAGCUCCUUCGACGAGUCGAGUUGUUUGGGAAUGCAGCUCUAAAUGGGAGGUAAAUUUCUUCUAAAGCUAAAUAUUGGCCAGAGACCGAUAGCGCACAAGUAGAGUGAUCGAAAGAUGAAAAGCACUUUGGAAAGAGAGUUAAAAAGCACGUGAAAUUGUUGAAAGGGAAGGGAUUGCAACCAGACUUGCUCGCGGUGUUCCGCCGGUCUUCUGACCGGUCUAUUCGCCGCGUUGCAGGCCAGCAUCGUCUGGUGCCGCUGGAUAAGACUUGAGGAAUGUAGCUCCCUCGGGAGUGUUAUAGCCUCUUGUGAUGCAGCGAGCGCCGGGCGAGGUCCGCGCUUCGGCUAGGAUGCUGGCGUAAUGGUUGUAAUCCGCCCGUCUUGAAACACGGACCAAGGAGUCUAACAUCUAUGCGAGUGUUCGGGUGUCAAACCCCUACGCGUAAUGAAAGUGAACGGAGGUGAGAACCGCACGGUGCAUCAUCGACCGAUCCUGAUGUCUUCGGAUGGGAUUUGAGUAUGAGCAUAGCUGUU